RNAcentral lists this non-coding RNA (23 nucleotides) under Rattus norvegicus (Norway rat). The record is from RNAcentral. Lineage: Eukaryota; Metazoa; Chordata; Mammalia; Rodentia; Muridae.
ACAAAGAAGGAACAACAAGAAAU